CGGCUAUGUCUGGGGCAGCGGGCGCGGUAGCGCGGGGGGGGGUGGCGGUGUUCGGAAGUACUGGGCGUAAAGGGCACGUAGGGGGGCCGUAGAGUUGGGGGUGAAAUCCCGGGGCUCAACCUCGGAACUGCCUUCAAGACUAUCGGUCUGGAGUUCGAGAGAGGUGAGUGGAAUUCCGAGUGUAGAGGUGAAAUUCGUAGAUAUUCGGAGGAACACCAGUGGCGAAGGCGGCUCACUGGCUCGAUACUGACGCUGAGGUGCGAAAGCGUGGGGAGCAAACAGGAUUAGUACCCGGGUAGUC
RNAcentral lists this ribosomal RNA (301 nucleotides) under uncultured Bacillus sp. RNAcentral's name for it is "partial 16S ribosomal RNA". It matches the Rfam family "Bacterial small subunit ribosomal RNA", at positions 494 to 795 of the family's 1533-position model. The record is from RNAcentral. Lineage: Bacteria; Bacillati; Bacillota; Bacilli; Caryophanales; Bacillaceae.